RNAcentral lists this ribosomal RNA (445 nucleotides) under uncultured bacterium. RNAcentral's name for it is "partial 16S ribosomal RNA". It matches the Rfam family "Bacterial small subunit ribosomal RNA", at positions 354 to 796 of the family's 1533-position model. The record is from RNAcentral.
GUAGGGAAUAUUGGGCAAUGGAGGCAACUCUGACCCAGCCAUGCCGCGUGCAGGAUGACGGCCCUCUGGGUUGUAAACUGCUUUUAUACGGGAAGAAAAAAUACUACGUGUAGUAUACUGACGGUACCGUAAGAAUAAGGAUCGGCUAACUCCGUGCCAGCAGCCGCGGUAAUACGGAGGAUCCAAGCGUUGUCCGGAUUUAUUGGGUUUAAAGGGUUAGUAGGCGGAUCUUUAAGUCAGUGGUGAAAGCCUGCAGCUUAACUGUAGAAUUGCCAUUGAAACUGAAGAUCUUGAAUGUGGUUAAAGUAGGCGGAAUGUAUCAUGUAGCGGUGAAAUGCUUAGAUAUGAUACAGAACACCGAUAGCGAAGGCAGCUUGCUGAACCAUUAUUGACGCUGAGGCACGAAAGCGUGGGGAGCGAACAGGAUUAGAUACCCCUGUAGUCC